UACGGGGGGGGCAAGCGUUGUUCGGAAUUACUGGGCGUAAAGGGCUCGUAGGCGGCCAACUAAGUCAGACGUGAAAUCCCUCGGCUUAACCGGGGAACUGCGUGUGAUACUGGAUGGCUUGAGUUUGGGAGAGGGAUGCGGAAUUCCAGGUGUAGCGGUGAAAUGCGUAGAUAUCUGGAGGAACACCGGUGGCGAAGGCGGCAUCCUGGACCAAUACUGACGCUGAGGAGCGAAAGCUAGGGGAGCAAACGGG
Molecule: ribosomal RNA, 253 nt
Filed under: uncultured bacterium
Lineage: Bacteria
Description: partial 16S ribosomal RNA
Rfam family: Bacterial small subunit ribosomal RNA
Source: RNAcentral